RNAcentral lists this ribosomal RNA (253 nucleotides) under uncultured bacterium. RNAcentral's name for it is "partial 16S ribosomal RNA". It matches the Rfam family "Bacterial small subunit ribosomal RNA", at positions 524 to 776 of the family's 1533-position model. The record is from RNAcentral.
UACGUAGGGUGCAAGCGUUGUCCGGAAUUAUUGGGCGUAAAGAGCUCGUAGGCGGUCUGUCGCGUCGAAUGUGAAAACCCGGGGCUCAACCCCGGGCCUGCAUUCGAUACGGGCAGACUAGAGUUCGGUGGGGGAGUCUGGAAUUCCUGGUGUAGCGGUGAAAUGCGCAGAUAUCAGGAGGAACACCGGUGGCGAAGGCGGGACUCUGGGCCGAUACUGACGCUGAGGAGCGAAAGCGUGGGGAGCAAACAGG